RNAcentral lists this ribosomal RNA (467 nucleotides) under uncultured bacterium. Its description in RNAcentral is "partial 16S ribosomal RNA". It matches the Rfam family "Bacterial small subunit ribosomal RNA", at positions 28 to 506 of the family's 1533-position model. The record is from RNAcentral.
GACGAACGCUGGCGGCGUGCUUAACACAUGCAAGUCGAACGGAAAGGCCCUGCUUUUGUGGGGUGCUCGAGUGGCGAACGGGUGAGUAACACGUGAGUAACCUGCCCUUGACUUUGGGAUAACUUCAGGAAACUGGGGCUAAUACCGGAUAGGAGCUCCUGCUGCAUGGUGGGGGUUGGAAAGUUUCGGCGGUUGGGGAUGGACUCGCGGCUUAUCAGCUUGUUGGUGGGGUAGUGGCUUACCAAGGCUUUGACGGGUAGCCGGCCUGAGAGGGUGACCGGCCACAUUGGGACUGAGAUACGGCCCAGACUCCUACGGGAGGCAACAGUGGGGAAUAUUGCACAAUGGGCGGAAGCCUGAUGCAGCAACGCCGCGUGCGGGAUGACGGCCUUCGGGUUGUAAACCGCUUUCGCCUGUGACGAAGCGUGAGUGACGGGAAUGGGGAAAGAAGCACCGGCUAACUACGU